UACUCAUUGUGAAGACAUUGGUGAUGUGU
RNAcentral lists this non-coding RNA (29 nucleotides) under Rattus norvegicus (Norway rat). Lineage: Eukaryota; Metazoa; Chordata; Mammalia; Rodentia; Muridae. The record is from RNAcentral.